This is a non-coding RNA of Cherax quadricarinatus, 726 nucleotides long. The record is from RefSeq and is a predicted model, not a curated record. NCBI's taxonomy places the organism in Eukaryota, Metazoa, Arthropoda, Malacostraca, Decapoda, Parastacidae.
AAGAGUUGAAGACCUCAGUGAAUAUUUAUAAGUGUAUCGGAGAAGUUGCCCGUUAACAUGUCAGAAGAUGAAGAUACGACCUUGAACGCCACAAAUCCUGAGUCUGUCGAACCAUCUGGAGCCUCGCUCAGCUCAGGUAUGAGCCAGUCAGCAUCAGAACUCUCUGGCAAAGUACCAGAAAACAGCCCAGUAAAAGUAAAAGUGACAACGGAAGUGGUGUUGCUGAUAACACUACUAAUACUGGCAAGGAAAAAGUGCAGGUAAAACGACCGACAACCAGGAUUGUUCAGUCACGAUUUAAAAUGCAGGUGCCAUUUCAAAGGACAGCAGUGGCGGAAGUAAUAGCAGUGGUAAUAAAUCCAACAGUGCUGGCUUAGUAGACUUCAGAAGAGUGGCCUCAACAAUACUCUGACAACAAGUACAUCCAUUUUUAGGGAAGAAACAAAUUCAAAAACCAAAGCCUGUGAGAUCAACACAUGCAUCAAAACUUGGCCCCACAAGUCGAUCUUCAAGUGUGCUAAAAAUAUCAGGAUCAGGAAGUCAGGCUAGCCAUCAAGGAGCUUCUCUUUUGCCACAAGCUAAUCUAGAAUCAAAAUCAAAUAAACUAGAUGCAAAGAAGUCAUCCAGGGCUUCAUCUAUACAGGCUAGCAAUGCUAAAUUACACUCUACUGUUCUAAAUGCCACCAUGCUCUCAGAUUUAACUGCUGUAAAGAAUUAUGAGAAUGU